Molecule: RNase P RNA, 343 nt
Filed under: bacterium
Lineage: Bacteria
Description: RNase P RNA component class A
Rfam family: Bacterial RNase P class A
About the family: Ribonuclease P (RNase P) is a ubiquitous endoribonuclease, found in archaea, bacteria and eukarya as well as chloroplasts and mitochondria. Its best characterised activity is the generation of mature 5'-ends of tRNAs by cleaving the 5'-leader elements of precursor-tRNAs.
Source: RNAcentral
UGGGCAGGGAAGUGGUCGCAUCCCCUUAUGUGGGAUGAGGAAAGUCCGGACACCAUAGGGCAGGCCGCCUCCUGAAAGGGAGGGCACCAGCAGGGAGACCCGCUGGUGACGGAUAGUGCCACAGAAAACAGACCGCCCUGAUUUGCAGGGUAAGGGUGAAAAGGUGGGGUAAGAGCCCACCGCUCUUCCUGGUAACAGGAGAGGCACGGUAAACCCCGGCCGGUGCAAGGCCAAGCAGUCCCGAUGGGGUGGCUCCGCUCCACACCCUGAUGGGUUAAGGGACGGGUGGGCUGCAUAGAGCAAUGACCACAUAAACAGAAUCCGGCUUAUCCCUGCCUCUUUU